RNAcentral lists this ribosomal RNA (671 nucleotides) under Escherichia coli. RNAcentral's name for it is "bacterial SSU rRNA". It matches the Rfam family "Bacterial small subunit ribosomal RNA", at positions 842 to 1508 of the family's 1533-position model. Lineage: Bacteria; Pseudomonadati; Pseudomonadota; Gammaproteobacteria; Enterobacterales; Enterobacteriaceae. The record is from RNAcentral.
GCUUCCGGAGCUAACGCGUUAAGUCGACCGCCUGGGGAGUACGGCCGCAAGGUUAAAACUCCCAUGAAUUGACGGGGGCCCGCACAAGCGGUGGAGCAUGUGGUUUAAUUCGAUGCAACGCGAAGAACCUUACCUGGUCUUGACAUCCACGGAAGUUUUCAGAGAUGAGAAGGUGCCUUCGGGAACCGUGAGACAGGUGCUGCAUGGCUGUCGUCAGCUCGUGUUGUGAAAUGUUGGGUUAAGUCCCGCAACGAGCGCAACCCUUAUCCUUUGUUGCCAGCGGUCCGGCCGGGAACUCAAAGGAGACUGCCAGUGAUAAACUGGAGGAAGGUGGGGAUGACGUCAAGUCAUCAUGGCCCUUACGACCAGGGCUACACACGUGCUACAAUGGCGCAUACAAAGAGAAGCGACCUCGCGAGAGCAAGCGGACCUCAUAAAGUGCGUCGUAGUCCGGAUUGGAGUCUGCAAACUCGACUCCCAUGAAGUCGGAAUCGCUAGUAAUCGUGGAUCAGAAUGCCACGGUGAAUACGUUCCCGGGCCUUGUACACACCGCCCGUCACACCAUGGGAGUGGGUUGCAAAAGAAGUAGGUAGCUUAAACCUUCGGGAGGGCGCUUACCACUUUGUGAUUCAUGACUGGGGGUGAAGUCGUAACAAAGGUAACCGUUAGGG